RNAcentral lists this ribosomal RNA (403 nucleotides) under Escherichia coli. RNAcentral describes it as "partial 23S ribosomal RNA". It matches the Rfam family "Bacterial large subunit ribosomal RNA", at positions 2259 to 2661 of the family's 2925-position model. Lineage: Bacteria; Pseudomonadati; Pseudomonadota; Gammaproteobacteria; Enterobacterales; Enterobacteriaceae. RNAcentral also lists the same sequence under 2 other names. The record is from RNAcentral.
UGGUGGGUAGUUUGACUGGGGCGGUCUCCUCCUAAAGAGUAACGGAGGAGCACGAAGGUUGGCUAAUCCUGGUCGGACAUCAGGAGGUUAGUGCAAUGGCAUAAGCCAGCUUGACUGCGAGCGUGACGGCGCGAGCAGGUGCGAAAGCAGGUCAUAGUGAUCCGGUGGUUCUGAAUGGAAGGGCCAUCGCUCAACGGAUAAAAGGUACUCCGGGGAUAACAGGCUGAUACCGCCCAAGAGUUCAUAUCGACGGCGGUGUUUGGCACCUCGAUGUCGGCUCAUCACAUCCUGGGGCUGAAGUAGGUCCCAAGGGUAUGGCUGUUCGCCAUUUAAAGUGGUACGCGAGCUGGGUUUAGAACGUCGUGAGACAGUUCGGUCCCUAUCUGCCGUGGGCGCUGGAGAA